This 475-nucleotide long non-coding RNA is filed under the name Homo sapiens (human). RNAcentral's name for it is "non-protein coding lnc-MAGEA9-2:1". Lineage: Eukaryota; Metazoa; Chordata; Mammalia; Primates; Hominidae. The record is from RNAcentral.
CUAUGCCCUGCUCUGAAAAGACACCUGCCAUUUCUCCCCCAGCAAGCAGGCCUGACCUGCCAGGAGGGCAGCAUGCAGCUGUGCUUUGCCUGCUCUCCAAGCAUGCCAUGGCCCUGAACCAGGGGUCUUGGCUGACCGCAGACUAUAACCUGUAUAGUGCCUACGAUUAUACAAUACCAUCUACGGAGUAAGCGCUUGUGAAAACUGCUCUUCCUGCUGGCUGCAAUGGAUGAGUGGCUCAGUGGUCUGGCCUGGCUGCAAAACACUUUAUAGAUACAGGAGCUGGUGUCACAGACGAAGGUUAUAGAGGAAAUGGUGGGACUGUAGUGCUUAAUUUGGGUAAAGAAAGGUUUGAAGUCAAAAAAAGUGAUCAAAUUGCACCAGUUUUCUGUGAAUGGAUUUUUUAUCCGUAAACAGAAGUUCAAGCUCUGGAUGAAACUGAAAGGCCUUCAGAAGGUUUAGGUUCCACUGGAAA